This 996-nucleotide unclassified non-coding RNA is filed under the name Hevea brasiliensis (rubber tree). Lineage: Eukaryota; Viridiplantae; Streptophyta; Magnoliopsida; Malpighiales; Euphorbiaceae. The record is from RNAcentral.
GAUCAAGGCACUACAAAGAUCCAUGGGCCCCUUUACUACAAUCUUAUAUACUCCCUUCUAUCAUUUGGUCAGGUUAUGGUGACAUUAUUAAAUUCAUAUUGGUUGAUCAUUUCAAGUCUUUAUGCUGCCAGAAGGUUGCAUGAUGCUAUGCUUAAUUCCAUAUUGAGAGCUCCAAUGGUCUUCUUUCACNCUUGGACGUAUUAUCAAUAGGUUUGCAAAGGAUCUUGGUGACAUUGAUAGGAAUGUUGCCCCAUUUGUGAAUAUGUUUCUGGGUCAAGUGUCACAGCUCCUUUCUACAUUUAUCCUCAUUGGAAUUGUGAGCACUAUGUCAUUGUGGGCCAUAAUGCCGCUUUUAGUUCUGUUUUAUGGAGCCUAUCUAUAUUAUCAGAGCACAGCCCGCGAAGUAAAGCGCUUGGAUUCUAUAAGUAGAUCACCUGUUUAUGCACAAUUUGGAGAAGCUCUAAACGGUCUGUCAACUAUUCGUGCAUACAAAGCUUAUGAUCGGAUGGCCGACAUCAAUGGUAGAUCUAUGGACAACAGUAUCAGAUUCACCCUUGUCAACAUGAGUGCAAAUCGUUGGCUUGCUAUCCGUCUGGAAACAUUGGGAGGCAUUAUGAUUUGGCUUACAGCAACCUUUGCUGUGAUGCAGAAUGGAAGGGCAGAGAACCAACAGGCAUUUGCAUCUACAAUGGGUCUACUUCUCAGCUAUGCCUUAAAUAUUACUGGUUUACUGACCGGUGUACUAAGACUUGCAAGUUUGGCUGAGAAUAGUUUAAAUGCUGUAGAGCGGAUUGGCACAUAUAUAGAUUUGCCAUCAGAGGCCCCUCCAAUUAUUGAGGGCAACCGCCCCCCUCCAGGUUGGCCUUCAUCAGGAUCAAUCAAGUUUGAGGGUGUUGUCCUGCGUUACAGACCUGAACUUCCACCUGUCUUACAUGGACUGUCCUUUAUGGUUUCUCCAAGUGACAAAGUUGGGAUAGUUGGAAGGACUGGAGCAGG